AGCGAACGCUGGCGGCAGGCUUAACACAUGCAAGUCGAGCGGGCGUAGCAAUACGUCAGCGGCAGACGGGUGAGUAACGCGUGGGAACGUACCUUUUGGUUCGGAACAACACAGGGAAACUUGUGCUAAUACCGGAUAAGCCCUUACGGGAAAGAUUAUCGCCGAAGAUCGGCCCGCGUCUGAUUAGCUAGUUGGUGAGGUAACGGCUCACCAAGGCGACGAUCAGUAGCUGGUCUGAGAGGAUGAUCAGCCACAUUGGGACUGAGACACGGCCC
This 275-nucleotide ribosomal RNA is filed under the name uncultured bacterium. RNAcentral describes it as "partial 16S ribosomal RNA". It matches the Rfam family "Bacterial small subunit ribosomal RNA", at positions 29 to 332 of the family's 1533-position model. The record is from RNAcentral.